UGGGGAAUUUUGGACAAUGGGCGAAAGCCUGAUCCAGCAAUGCCGCGUGUGUGAAGAAGGCCUUCGGGUUGUAAAGCACUUUUGUCCGGAAAGAAAUCCUUGGCUCUAAUACAGUCGGGGGAUGACGGUACCGGAAGAAUAAGCACCGGCUAACUACGUGCCAGCAGCCGCGGUAAUACGUAGGGUGCAAGCGUUAAUCGGAAUUACUGGGCGUAAAGCGUGCGCAGGCGGUUUGCUAAGACCGAUGUGAAAUCCCCGGGCUCAACCUGGGAACUGCAUUGGUGACUGGCAGGCUAGAGUAUGGCAGAGGGGGGUAGAAUUCCACGUGUAGCAGUGAAAUGCGUAGAGAUGUGGAGGAAUACCGAUGGCGAAGGCAGCCCCCUGGGGCCAAUACUGACGCUCAUGCACGAAAGCGUGGGGAGCAAACAGGAUUAGAUACCCUGGUAGUCCACGCCCUAAANGAUGUCAACUAGUUGUUGGGGAUUCAUUUCCUUAGUAACGUAGCUAACGCGUGAAGUUGACCGCCUGGGGAGUACGGUCGCAAGAUUAAAACUUAAAGGAA
This 562-nucleotide ribosomal RNA is filed under the name uncultured bacterium. RNAcentral's name for it is "partial 16S ribosomal RNA". It matches the Rfam family "Bacterial small subunit ribosomal RNA", at positions 355 to 909 of the family's 1533-position model. The record is from RNAcentral.